CAGUAGCCGCGGGAAUACGAAGGGUGCAAGCGUUACUCUGAAUUACUGGGCGUAAAGCGUGCGUAGGUGGUGGUUUAAGUCCGUUGUGAAAGCCCUGGGCUCAACCUGGGAAUUGCAGUGGAUACUGGGUCACUAGAGUGUGGUAGAGGAUAGUGGAAUUUCCGGUGUAGCAGUGAAAUGCGUAGAGAUCGGAAGGAACAUCUGUGGCGAAGGCGACUAUCUGGGCCAACACUGACACUGAGGCACGAAAGCGUGGGGAGCAAACAGGAUUAGAUACCCCUGUAGUCCCUGUCUCUUAUAC
RNAcentral lists this ribosomal RNA (301 nucleotides) under uncultured bacterium. Its description in RNAcentral is "partial 16S ribosomal RNA". It matches the Rfam family "Bacterial small subunit ribosomal RNA", at positions 509 to 807 of the family's 1533-position model. The record is from RNAcentral.